AGAGUCUGAUCAUGGCUCAGGACGAACGCUGGCGGCGUGCUUAACACAUGCAAGUCGAGCGGAAAGGCCCUUUCGGGGGUACUCGAGCGGCGAACGGGUGAGUAACACGUGAGUAAUCUGCCCUUCACUUGGGGAUAACCUCCGGAAACGGUGGCUAAUACCCGAUACGACCAGCCUACGCAUGUGGUGUUGGUGGAAAGUUUUUUCGGUGGGGGAUGUGCUCGCGGCCUAUCAGCUUGUUGGUGGGGUAAUGGCCUACCAAGGCUUCGACGGGUAGCCGGCCUGAGAGGGUGACCGGCCACACUGGGACUGAGACACGGCCCAGACUCCUACGGGAGGCAGCAGUGGGGAAUAUUGGACAAUGGGCGGAAGCCUGAUCCAGCAACGCCGCGUGAGGGAUGACGGCCUUCGGGUUGUAAACCUCUUUCACCUGUGACGAAGCCUUGUUCUUUUGGGUGGGGUGACGGUAGCGGGAGAAGAAGCACCGGCCAACUACGUGCCAGCAGCGGCGGUAAUAC
RNAcentral lists this ribosomal RNA (518 nucleotides) under uncultured bacterium. Its description in RNAcentral is "bacterial SSU rRNA". It matches the Rfam family "Bacterial small subunit ribosomal RNA", at positions 8 to 526 of the family's 1533-position model. The record is from RNAcentral.